RNAcentral lists this ribosomal RNA (677 nucleotides) under Vreelandella aquamarina. Its description in RNAcentral is "bacterial SSU rRNA". It matches the Rfam family "Bacterial small subunit ribosomal RNA", at positions 75 to 749 of the family's 1533-position model. The record is from RNAcentral. Lineage: Bacteria; Pseudomonadati; Pseudomonadota; Gammaproteobacteria; Oceanospirillales; Halomonadaceae.
CCAGCUUGCUGGAUGCUGACGAGCGGCGGACGGGUGAGUAAUGCAUAGGAAUCUGCCCGAUAGUGGGGGAUAACCUGGGGAAACCCAGGCUAAUACCGCAUACGUCCUACGGGAGAAAGGGGGCUCCGGCUCCCGCUAUGGGAUGAGCCUAUGUCGGAUUAGCUAGUUGGUGAGGUAACGGCUCACCAAGGCCACGAUCCGUAGCUGGUCUGAGAGGAUGAUCAGCCACAUCGGGACUGAGACACGGCCCGAACUCCUACGGGAGGCAGCAGUGGGGAAUAUUGGACAAUGGGGGCAACCCUGAUCCAGCCAUGCCGCGUGUGUGAAGAAGGCCCUCGGGUUGUAAAGCACUUUCAGCGAGGAAGAACGCCUAGCGGUUAAUACCCGCUAGGAAAGACAUCACUCGCAGAAGAAGCACCGGCUAACUCCGUGCCAGCAGCCGCGGUAAUACGGAGGGUGCAAGCGUUAAUCGGAAUUACUGGGCGUAAAGCGCGCGUAGGUGGCUUGAUAAGCCGGUUGUGAAAGCCCCGGGCUCAACCUGGGAACGGCAUCCGGAACUGUCAAGCUAGAGUGCAGGAGAGGAAGGUAGAAUUCCCGGUGUAGCGGUGAAAUGCGUAGAGAUCGGGUAGGAAUACCAGUGGCGAAAGGCGGCCUUUCUGGACUGACACUGACACUGA